GACAAGCCCUGGAAACGGGGUCUAAUACCGGAUAUGACGCACGGCCGCAUGGUCUGUGUGUGGAAAGCUCCGGCGGUGCAGGAUGGGCCCGCGGCCUAUCAGCUUGUUGGUGGGGUGAUGGCCUACCAAGGCGACGACGGGUAGCCGGCCUGAGAGGGCGACCGGCCACACUGGGACUGAGACACGGCCCAGACUCCUACGGGAGGCAGCAGUGGGGAAUAUUGCACAAUGGGCGCAAGCCUGUUGCAGCGACGCCGCGUGGGGGAUGACGGCCUUCGGGUUGUAAACCUCUUUCAGCAGGGAAGAAGCCUUUUGGGGUGACGGUACUUGCAGAAGAAGCACCGGCUAACUACGUGCCAGCAGCCGCGGUAAUACGUAGGGUGCGAGCGUUGUCCGGAAUUAUUGGGCGUAAAGAGCUCGUAGGCGGCUUGUCACGUCGGAUGUGAAAGCUCGGGGCUUAACUCCGGGUCUGCAUUCGAUACGGGCAGGCUAGAGUUCGGUAGGGGAGAUCGGAAUUCCUGGUG
Molecule: ribosomal RNA, 524 nt
Filed under: uncultured Streptomyces sp.
Lineage: Bacteria; Bacillati; Actinomycetota; Actinomycetes; Kitasatosporales; Streptomycetaceae
Description: bacterial SSU rRNA
Rfam family: Bacterial small subunit ribosomal RNA
Source: RNAcentral